AAAUCAAUUACGAAGAAGACGGAGAAAGCGGACGGUUAAGCUGGGUUUAAUUUUUUCCCGCCGAAUUUCUGAAGUAAUAUAAACAUAGUUAUUAUCGACUAGGAGCCAAAAUAAGCAUGCCACAGAAAUCUUCAAAAAGAAGAAGAAUUCCCACAAACAAAAUGCAGGAGAUGUUCCAGAGUCUCCAUCUCCAACACAUCAUCACUCAGGACAUUUUGCCUUGUGCACUUUGAGGAUGGCUACAGAGCGAAAAUCUUUACACCAUGGGAUAUUUUGAAUGAAAAUGAUGCUCCCAUUCACCAUUUUGACGUUCUUAGACCAGGAGAAGUUGUUAUGGCACGAUGGUCAGAUGUCCCAUUGUUUUGUUUUCUGCCCAGCUACUCAUUUUAGUUCACUUAAGUAACUAAAUAU
This is a long non-coding RNA of Hemibagrus wyckioides, 411 nucleotides long. RefSeq lists it as uncharacterized. The record is from RefSeq and is a predicted model, not a curated record. The transcript has 3 exons. Lineage: Eukaryota; Metazoa; Chordata; Actinopteri; Siluriformes; Bagridae.